This 77-nucleotide transfer RNA is filed under the name Caldisericota bacterium. Its description in RNAcentral is "Caldiserica bacterium tRNA-Met". It matches the Rfam family "tRNA". From Rfam's summary of the family: Transfer RNA (tRNA) molecules are approximately 80 nucleotides in length. Their secondary structure includes four short double-helical elements and three loops (D, anti-codon, and T loops). Lineage: Bacteria; Pseudomonadati; Caldisericota. RNAcentral also lists the same sequence under 1 other name. The record is from RNAcentral.
GGCGGCGUAGCUCAGUUGGUUAGAGCACACGGCUCAUACCCGUGGAGUCGAGGGUUCGAAUCCCCCCGCCGCCACCA